AUUGAACGCUGGCGGCAGGCCUAACACAUGCAAGUCGAGCGGUAGCACAGGAGAGCUUGCUCUCUGGGUGACGAGCGGCGGACGGGUGAGUAAUGUCUGGGAAACUGCCUGAUGGAGGGGGAUAACUACUGGAAACGGUAGCUAAUACCGCAUAACGUCUUCGGACCAAAGUGGGGGACCUUCGGGCCUCACGCCAUCAGAUGUGCCCAGAUGGGAUUAGCUAGUAGGUGGGGUAAUGGCUCACCUAGGCGACGAUCCCUAGCUGGUCUGAGAGGAUGACCAGCCACACUGGAACUGAGACACGGUCCAGACUCCUACGGGAGGCAGCAGUGGGGAAUAUUGCACAAUGGGCGCAAGCCUGAUGCAGCCAUGCCGCGUGUGUGAAGAAGGCCUUCGGGUUGUAAAGCACUUUCAGCGAGGAGGAAGGGUAGUGUGUUAAUAGCACAUUGCAUUGACGUUACUCGCAGAAGAAGCACCGGCUAACUCCGUGCCAGCAGCCGCGGUAAUACGGAGGGUGCAAGCGUUAAUCGGAAUUACUGGGCGUAAAAGCGCACGCAGGCGGUUUGUUAAGUCAGAUGUGAAAUCCCCCGCGCUUAACGUGGGAACUGCAUUUGAAACUGGCAAGCUAGAGUCUUUGUAGAGGGGGGUAUAAUUUCCAGGUGUAGAGGUGAAAUGCGUAGAGAUCUGGAGGAAUACCUGGGGCGAAAUGCGUCCCCUUGACAAAGACUGCCCUUCGUUCUAAAUCUGGAUAUUCUCAAGAUAGAUAUUCGGACAUCUACGUGUAUUUUUCCCGGGAUGUAUAGUCUUAUACGCGGGUGGUGGUGUUGGUUUUUGUUUCUGUUUAGGGGCUUCACUUAGAAUAUGUUAUUUCUUGCCUGGUCGCGGAUUACGCGUACA
Molecule: ribosomal RNA, 897 nt
Filed under: uncultured Streptococcus sp.
Lineage: Bacteria; Bacillati; Bacillota; Bacilli; Lactobacillales; Streptococcaceae
Description: bacterial SSU rRNA
Rfam family: Bacterial small subunit ribosomal RNA (bases 1-791)
Source: RNAcentral